Molecule: ribosomal RNA, 347 nt
Filed under: uncultured bacterium
Lineage: Bacteria
Description: bacterial SSU rRNA
Rfam family: Bacterial small subunit ribosomal RNA
Source: RNAcentral
GGACCCGCACAAGCGGUGGAGCAUGUGGUUUAAUUCGAUGCAACGCGAAAAAACCUUACCUACUCUUGACAUACUUGGAAGCUCUUGUAAUGAGAGUGUGCCUUUUGGAACCAAGAUACAGGUGCUGCAUGGCUGUCGUCAGCUCGUGUCGUGAGAUGUUCCGUUAAGUCGGAUAACGAGCGCAACCCUUACCCUUAUUUGCCAGCGAUUCGGUCGGGAACUAUAAGGGGACUGCCGGUGAUAAACCGGAGGAAGGUGAGGACGACGUCAAGUCAUCAUGGCCCUUACGAGUAGGGCUACACACGUACUACAAUGCUACGGACAAAGAGCAGCUAACUCGCGAGAGU